This 683-nucleotide ribosomal RNA is filed under the name uncultured fungus. RNAcentral's name for it is "eukaryotic LSU rRNA". The stretch from base 339 to 492 matches the Rfam family "5.8S ribosomal RNA". The record is from RNAcentral. Lineage: Eukaryota; Fungi.
UGGAGCCUUCAGCACGACUGUAAAGAAAUGCGUAGUUUGCUUGCAAGCAAUGCCACUCAAAUGCUGAGACAUAUGAAUCAGCAGCCUUUUAGGCUCACAGAUCAAAUUGUGGUAACCAUUCUUAUGGGCAAGAUAUGACCGGUCUUAACUAGAGUUAGUUAAGAAUCCACGUUCCGUAGGUGAACCUGCGGAAGGAUCAUUAAAGGUUUCGGGUACCCAGUGCCCAAACUUCAACCCUAUGUUUUAACUAUACAUGUUUCUUUGCCGGUUUCGGCCGGCAGAAGUUUUCUCAAACUCCACUAUAAAUGUGUCUUCUGAAUCAAAACUAAAUAAAUUAAAACUUUCAACAACGGAUCUCUUGGUUCUGGCAUCGAUGAAGAGCGCAGCGAAAUGCGAUAAGUAAUGUGAAUUGCAGAAUUCAGUGAAUCAUCGAAUCUUUGAACGCAUAUUGCGCCCUUUGGCAUUCCGAAGGGCAUACCUGUUCGAGCGUCAUUACACCCCUCAAAGAUGACUCUUUGGCGUUGGGCAAUGCCUAAAGGCAUGCCUCAAAAUCAGCGAUGGUGAUAUUCAACCACAGGCGCACACACGUCGUCUAGCUGGCGGGAUGUUGACAGUCAAUUGAUGAAUUUCUAAAUGUUGACCUCGGAUCAGGUAGGAAUACCCGCUGAACUUAAGCAUAUUCG